RNAcentral lists this ribosomal RNA (435 nucleotides) under uncultured bacterium. RNAcentral describes it as "bacterial SSU rRNA". It matches the Rfam family "Bacterial small subunit ribosomal RNA", at positions 29 to 507 of the family's 1533-position model. The record is from RNAcentral.
AACGAACGCUGGCGGCAGGCUUAACACAUGCAAGUCGAACGGUUAUAGCAAUAUAGCAGUGGCGCACGGGUGAGUAACACGUGGGAACAUGCCCUAGAGUCUGGGAUAACGUCGGGAAACUGACGCUAAUACCGGAUAUUCCCCCAGGGGGAAAGAUUUAUCGCUCUAGGAUUGGCCCGCGCUAGAUUAGGUAGUUGGUGGGGUAAUGGCCUACCAAGCCUACGAUCUAUAGCUGGUCUGAGAGGACGACCAGCCACACUGGAACUGAGACACGGUCCAGACUCCUACGGGAGGCAGCAGUGGGGAAUAUUGGACAAUGGGCGAAAGCCUGAUCCAGCCAUGCCGCGUGAGUGAUGAAGGCCUUAGGGUUGUAAAGCUCUUUUGUGAGGGAAGAUGAUGACGGUACCUCAAGAAUAAGCACCGGCUAACUUCGUG